This 84-nucleotide microRNA precursor is filed under the name Saimiri boliviensis boliviensis (Bolivian squirrel monkey). RNAcentral describes it as "miRNA (ENSSBOG00000007066.1)". The record is from RNAcentral. Lineage: Eukaryota; Metazoa; Chordata; Mammalia; Primates; Cebidae.
CCGGGACCUUGGUCCAGGCGCCCGACCGCGUGGUGCUGGGGUGGAUAAGUCUGAUCUGAGCACCACACGCGCCGGGCGCCUGGA